Molecule: long non-coding RNA, 2356 nt
Filed under: Mus musculus (house mouse)
Lineage: Eukaryota; Metazoa; Chordata; Mammalia; Rodentia; Muridae
Description: long non-coding RNA chrX:100024097-100026453
Source: RNAcentral
GUACUAGGACACUUAAGCUAGCUAAGGAGGAAGUCAGAAAAAAUGUAAAUGGCAAAGUAGAGGAAAGAUCAGUGAACUAGCCUUGAUAUACUGAAAGAAUGGUUGUUAGUCUGGAAUAUUGCUAUUGAGGACUACUGUGCUUAUAUUGGUGAUUUUGGAGAUUGAGUGGUAAAUGGUCAUCUAUGGUUGCUUCCAGUUGCGUGAGGAGUGAGUGGUAGAUGCGGUAUGGAAGGAAGUCACUGGGGAUGAGGAAAUUAAUGACUCAGAGUUCAGCAUAUUAGAUAAGCUACACCAUACUUCUAUACGUUUAUCUUCUCUUUCUUUUUUCCUUUAUUAUUUUUUUUUAAAUUUAAUUUAAUGUGUAUGGUUGUUUUGCCUGCCUGGUGUAUGUCUGUGCACCACGUGUGUGUCUGGUGCCCUUGGAGGCUAGAAGAAGGCUUUAGAUCCUCUGAGAUUGGAGUCACAGAUGGUUGUAAAACAUCAUGUGGGUCCUGGGUAUUGAAUCUAUGUCCUCUAAAAAAGCAGUUACUGCUCUAAACCACUAAGACAUCUUUCCAACACCAAGGACAGGAUCUUAUUAGUGUUCAUUAGAGACAUCUAAAUGCCAGCUCUAGGACAGCUAUUCUAAACUAUUCAGAGUUUAUCCUCCAAGGAAUUUAGGAGCUCUUAGGAUGAGUGUAUUAGAUUAGAUGUUAUGGUAAGAAAGAUGUAUGAAUUUUCAGUCUUUUCCUGUCUGCUAUUCUCUUUCUCUCUAGACAUAGUCAGAUUUUUUUCUUUUAAAAGCUCUUUCCUCUAUCUUGGGAUAUAACUCAGUAGGAAAAUUAACCUUUGACCCAACUUUAAGCUUUCUUUAAAACUUCUCUCUCAAAUCUAUUAUUCUUUUCAUUGUUAUAAAUAUUUAUUUAUUGGAAAUGCCUAAUUUUCACUGAGCAAUAUUAUGGGGAAAAGAGUAAUCAUCAUAGUAUACAACUUUUGUCACUUGGGAGUAUACAUACAUACAUAUAUACAUACAUACAUCUUAUUUUUCUUAUAGUUUGAAUCAUAACUGAUAAUAUAAGAGAACAAAGGCUUUAUCACACACAUACAUGCGUGUAAACACACAUUAAUAUUUGUGCUGGGGGGUAGAACUCAAGGGUUUAUGUAUGUAGGCAAUCACUCUACCAUUGAGCCCUAUGACCAAUACAUUUUUAAUUUUGUAUUUUUAAAGUUUUUAGCUUACAUUUCCUGUUUUCUUCAUAUUCUGUAAAAUGUUCAAAUAUUUAACUUUUUAUGUAUUAUAAAUUUCUAAUCUGUUUUCUUAUGGUCAGACCUUUCAAGUAAUUCACACGUUUUGCUGUUCCUGAUAACAAUAUAUUCUACUUCAUCUUGUGUUCAUGCUUUUUUUAAACUCUAAUUCUUUAAAAAUAUUUUUAUGUGUCUCUAUGUGUGCACAUGGAUCUUUGUAUGUGCAUCAUAUUUGUGUGUGUGUGUGUGUGUGUGUGUGUGUGUGUGUGUGUGUGUGUGUGUAUUGAGGCCUGAAGUUGAUAUCUGAAGUCUUCCUCAAUCACUCUCCACCUUAUUGGAGGUCUCAGUUGAAUGUAGAACUAAUCUAACUAGCAAGCCUGCUUUAAGGAGCUUCUGUCUCCUUUCUUAGCACUAGAUUUAUGGGGAGGUCACCGUACUCACCCAGCAUUUACAUGGGUUCUAACUACACAACUUCUUGUCCUCAAUCUUGAAGACAAAUAUUUAUCUAUUGAACCAUGUUUCUAGCCCCUAAUUUUUUUGUUGAGCUGUUUUAAGAGAUAAAUUCCUAGAAGUGAGAUUAGCUGGCCAAAGAUUAUGAACAUUUUCCUUCCGAUGAACUUACUGAAAGAACUGUAUACCGUUUGCCUUCAUGCCCUAACACUUUCCUUAAGUAUCUUGGAAUUUGUCAUCAGUCAAACAUCUUUCAGAGAUUACAAAGUGGCUUCCUAUUUGGAAAAUGAAUCGGCUCAUUCUGAAUUUUAAGAAUUCUUAUAAUUUAUAAGAUGUAACACUUUGUUGCAACUAUCUUCUUGAAGUUCUCCUGUCUUGGUUCAUGAUAUGAUAUUUAGUUCUCUUUCUACCUUCGACUGAUUCUGUUUCUUGAAUGUCUGAAAUGAAGCCUUCUUUAGGUUGUGUUCAGUCCCUUCCAACAUGAAUAAACUACAAACCACUUUCUCUGGUUCCAACUUCUCCCUUCUUAAAUUGACAAUAAAGUUGUUUUCAUACACUAUGUUCUAAUAAUGGUUUCCUGUCUCAUCUUCUCCUUGAUCCUUUCCACCUCCCAACCCAUCCAACUCCCCACCUUCUUUCUCUCUCUUAAGAACACAAAUAGGCAAACAAAAUAGACAAAGAU